This 469-nucleotide ribosomal RNA is filed under the name uncultured bacterium. Its description in RNAcentral is "partial 16S ribosomal RNA". It matches the Rfam family "Bacterial small subunit ribosomal RNA", at positions 28 to 507 of the family's 1533-position model. The record is from RNAcentral.
GAUGAACGCUGGCGGCGUGCUUAACACAUGCAAGUCGAACGGUGAACACGGAGCUUGCUCUGUGGGAUCAGUGGCGAACGGGUGAGUAACACGUGAGCAACCUGCCCCUGACUCUGGGAUAAGCGCUGGAAACGGCGUCUAAUACUGGAUAUGUGACGUGACCGCAUGGUCUGCGUUUGGAAAGAUUUUUCGGUUGGGGAUGGGCUCGCGGCCUAUCAGCUUGUUGGUGAGGUAAUGGCUCACCAAGGCGUCGACGGGUAGCCGGCCUGAGAGGGUGACUGGCCACACUGGGACUGAGACACGGCCCAGACUCCUACGGGAGGCAGCAGUGGGGAAUAUUGCACAAUGGGCGCAAGCCUGAUGCAGCAACGCCGCGUGAGGGAUGACGGCCUUCGGGUUGUAAACCUCUUUUAGCAGGGAAGAAGCGAAAGUGACGGUACCUGCAGAAAAAGCGCCGGCUAACUACGUG